UAGCGUAGGUGGCAAGCGUUGUCCGGAAUUAUUGGGCGUAAAGCGCGCGCAGGCGGUCCCUUAAGUCUGAUGUGAAAGUCCACGGCUCAACCGUGGAGGGUCAUUGGAAACUGGGGGACUUGAGUACAGAAGAGGAAAGCGGAAUUCCACGUGUAGCGGUGAAAUGCGUUAGAGAUGUGGAGGAACACCAGUGGCGAAGGCGGCGUUUCUGGUCGUGUAACUGACGCUGAGGCGCGAAAGCGUGGGGAGCAAACAGG
RNAcentral lists this ribosomal RNA (257 nucleotides) under uncultured bacterium. RNAcentral describes it as "partial 16S ribosomal RNA". It matches the Rfam family "Bacterial small subunit ribosomal RNA", at positions 523 to 776 of the family's 1533-position model. The record is from RNAcentral.